RNAcentral lists this ribosomal RNA (253 nucleotides) under uncultured bacterium. RNAcentral's name for it is "partial 16S ribosomal RNA". It matches the Rfam family "Bacterial small subunit ribosomal RNA", at positions 524 to 776 of the family's 1533-position model. The record is from RNAcentral.
UACAGGGGGUGCAAACGUUGCUCGGAAUCAUUGGGCGUAAAGCGCACGUAGGCGGUUCGUUAUGUCGGAUGUGAAAGCCCUUGGCUUAACCGAGGAAGUGCAUCCGAAACUGGCGAGCUAGAGUACGAAAGAGGAUCGCGGAAUUCCCGGUGUAGAGGUGAAAUUCGUAGAUAUCGGGAGGAACACCGGUGGCGAAGGCGGCGAUCUGGGUCGAUACUGACGCUGAGGUGCGAGAGCGUGGGGAGCAAACAGG